This 70-nucleotide ribozyme is filed under the name Rodentolepis nana. RNAcentral describes it as "Hymenolepis nana HDV ribozyme from F. prausnitzii". It matches the Rfam family "HDV ribozyme from F. prausnitzii". Lineage: Eukaryota; Metazoa; Platyhelminthes; Cestoda; Cyclophyllidea; Hymenolepididae. The record is from Rfam by way of RNAcentral.
UGGGUGCGAUAGACUCACCUCCACGUGGUGCACCCUGGGCAACGUUUACUCAUACGGCAAAAAUGUGGUG